RNAcentral lists this unclassified non-coding RNA (305 nucleotides) under Sarcoptes scabiei. RNAcentral describes it as "ITS2". The record is from RNAcentral. Lineage: Eukaryota; Metazoa; Arthropoda; Arachnida; Sarcoptiformes; Sarcoptidae.
UUAAAUGCAAAAUCCAACAUAAAGAUAGAUCUGUUUCGUCACACUUCGAUGAAAAGGUGUCGUCAGAUUAAUCGAAAGUCAGAAUUUAUUCUUUUUGAAUGAAUUUGCUGUUAGUAGUAGCUCUAUGAGAAAAUGUUUCAAGUCUCGAGUGGCUUUGAAAGCACAUCGAUGGUGCGACAUUCUCCUAGGGUUCUCUAGCAUUACACGCUAAAGAAUCCRAGUGCCAGUGAUGUGUGCCUGUUGAGAUUGAAAAAAAUCAAACAUGAAUAUCAAAGAGUGAUUCUACAAGCAAUGAAAUGUCAUUU